GAUGAACGCUGGCGGCGUGCCUAAUACAUGCAAGUCGAGCGAACAGACGAGGAGCUUGCUCCUCUGACGUUAGCGGCGGACGGGUGAGUAACACGUGGAUAACCUACCUAUAAGACUGGGAUAACUUCGGGAAACCGGAGCUAAUACCGGAUAAUAUAUUGAACCGCAUGGUUCAAUAGUGAAAGACGGUUUUGCUGUCACUUAUAGAUGGAUCCGCGCCGCAUUAGCUAGUUGGUAAGGUAACGGCUUACCAAGGCAACGAUGCGUAGCCGACCUGAGAGGGUGAUCGGCCACACUGGAACUGAGACACGGUCCAGACUCCUACGGGAGGCAGCAGUAGGGAAUCUUCCGCAAUGGGCGAAAGCCUGACGGAGCAACGCCGCGUGAGUGAUGAAGGUCUUCGGAUCGUAAAACUCUGUUAUUAGGGAAGAACAAAUGUGUAAGUAACUAUGCACGUCUUGACGGUACCUAACCAGAAAGCCACGGCUAACUACGUG
Molecule: ribosomal RNA, 497 nt
Filed under: uncultured bacterium
Lineage: Bacteria
Description: partial 16S ribosomal RNA
Rfam family: Bacterial small subunit ribosomal RNA
Source: RNAcentral